Molecule: non-coding RNA, 4693 nt
Organism: Camellia sinensis
Lineage: Eukaryota; Viridiplantae; Streptophyta; Magnoliopsida; Ericales; Theaceae
Source: RefSeq, a predicted model, not a curated record
ACCAUGACAAAUCAUUAGACAACUGUGCACUGAUGAGUGAUGAUCAUUUUAAAAAGGGCAAAAUUCAUUUUACCCAUGUGGUUUGAGCUCGUCACCCCCUUAUGGUUCAAAUAUAACCAGCAGUUUCUAAUUUUGGAGUGUGGGUAGCUCACAUUAGUUUUAGCCUCGAUCACCACCCAAAUGGAAUGAGAUUUGGCCAUUACACAUCAAUUUAGUUUGCUUCUACUCUAGAUUUGGGUUUUUAAGUCAUCUGUCAUGAUAACAGCAAGUUUGUGCUAGACUUGUAAUGAAAUAUAACAUAACCACAGGUCAAAGGGCUUUCCAGGGAAGAACUAGCCAGUUGUAAUGAUCUAGUUCUUGCACUACCAGAGAGGGUUAAAUCAAUUCCAGAUGGGACCACAUCCAUGGUCAAACAAACUGGAGGCAGGACAGCUUCAGCAUCUCGUAAAAAUAUCAAAUUUGACUAGGGUGAUUUUCGUUUGCUAAUGCUUUUUAUUGAGUUUUCGUUGCCAGUUGUCAUAUACAAGAGCCUUAUUUAUUGUUGUCAGCGUACUUGCUUUGUUUUGUACGAACCACAGAUGGCACUCUGGUAUUGAAUUUCUUUCAACAGAUUGAAGAAUCAAACCUUUUUAGGGAAGAAUAUGAAAUGCGGAGAAUGAAACAAGCGACACCUCUUCAAUUACUCUUUCAAGCCUAAUGUUACUUUUCUCCCAUAAUUAUGCAUUUUCAUCUAAUUUCAAUUGAUUAAACACAGGAUCAAGGCUUAGAUAUUAUAUCAGGGAUACACCGAAGAAUUCGGCCCAUGAUGUGGAGGAAUUGGAUAGGCAAGUUCCAUUGAUUGAUGAAACGGAUACAAAGGUUGGAAACUUGACAUCAAACUGCCUUCCAAUAAGAUCAGAGUAUCAAACUAUGUUGGUGGAAGUUUUAUAAUCUAGUGCGGUCUAUGGUGUCUUCACAGGUGGAUAGGGCUACAGCUUUAGAAUGAACGAAACAGUUAAUAAGGUAAUUGAUCAUAAUGUUACAUUAAAUUUUGUUUGCCUACUUACACAUCUUGUCAUUUAUUUCUUCUAUCUUGUCGAAUUGUGUCAAUAAUUUGAAUUAUUCAGUUUGUUGCAGAUAAGGACAAGUCAAAAUUUCUGUGUCGACAUCAUUAUGUUGUGUUUCUGGGAAUUGCAUUCUAUUUAUACAAGUGGGCCCCCUAUCUUGUGCAAUAUCUAGCUUAAGAUCACAUUGGAAGAUGCAUUUAUUGUACCACACUCCUAUUUUUAUGAGUGAGAAAGUUUUUUUUUUUUUUUUUUCUUACCAUGGCCUUUAUGGAUGGUUGUCUUUUUUACAUUUUUAGUAAUGACGAAUAAAAAUAGCAGCAGCAUAACUUACUCAACUCAACUAAGCCCUGUCCUAACUAGUACUAGGAGUAGUGAUAUUUGUGGUGUUUGCAAAAAUUAACAUUCAGAACUUAUUACCUUCCAAACAAGAAAAAAUACAGAAAGAAAAACAUGGACUCUGUCUACCCUUUUUAGCCAUGUAAAACACAUCCAAUUUGAAUGGGAUUUUCUGGUUCACUAGUCUGACCUGCUAAUCUGGAACUUCAAUGUUGAAUGCAAUGCUGCAUGUGCUUGGAAACAGGACACUGAUACAAAUGACAUAGAUAAGUUGAUACAACAAACCUUUUUUAUUAUAAUUUUACUUUGGUGAAAAGGAAAAUUUAUAAAAUCCAGAGGCAAUCAAGAGUGCAAAAGAGGUAAGGUUGUUUUCAUGAAUUAGCAUCUUUUUGCAGAAUCUUGCCUCAUGGAAGAUACUGGAUAUCUGAACAGAUUCAACAACCACCUGCAAUCCAAAAUUCUGGAACUAUAAUGGUGAGUGUGGUGUGGAUGGUCAGUCUGCAUUCAAUGUGAUUGGCAGGUUGUUGCAACCUUUGUUUAAGGCAUCUUACAACCCAUCUGAUCUUAAAAAAAAGUAGAAAUCCACAUUGUUUUGAUUUUAAUGAUUGACCCCCCAAGUUAUUUUCUUCAAAGUUGUGUCAAGAGCCGUAUGUGUUUAAAUAAUAGAUACACAUGUGCUCAAAAUGUUUGAAGUGUGGCCGGUUCUAAAAUCAGUCACAGUGCUCUUGGUCCUACUGUCAAACCAGCUUAUGUGACAAUUACUUCUCUUUCCUUACCAACUUCAUGUUAUUUUCUUUUUCCAAAUAAAUAUAUGUUUAUUGAUUCCAGAGAAAUUAGUCUAACAGAAUCCUGCUUUGUUUGAUACAGUAUACUGAAGUAAAUCAUCACAAAAGCUUCGCAUAGUGCUGGUGGUCUCUGUGUUGUCUGGUUUAGGGAUGAAAGAGGACCGAGUUGUGGUCAAUCUUGACUUGGUAAUUGGGUACUAAUAUACAUGCUAUUCCUCCAUGUUUUCCAUAGGAUUUGAAGAGAUGUAUAGACUAUAAAUUAGUUUAUCUGUGAAAUCUUGAAGUAUCCUUGUUUUCGACAUAUCUUGAGGUAAAUUGUCACACCCACUCAAUUUCUAUAAGAAACAAUAUGAAUAAAUAUCACUGAACAGAUUAAUAAUUUGUUUGGUGCAGCUUAUAGGACUGCUUAUAACUUCUUUUUAUUUGAAAGUCGUGCCAAAUUGUUUAGUGUUUCUUCUGCUUAUAGUUUAUAAGGCCAGAAUAUAUUAAAUAAGCUGAAAAAAGGAAGCAAGGGGAUCGAUGCUUUUAGCUUCUAAUUUGAGCUUGCAAGAAACUGCACCAAGCAGGUCGUAAAUCUUGCUAAAACUCGGGCUAUGUUUGGAUCUUACAUUUUUUGUAGGGGGAAAAAAGGAAGUGGAAAUGAAGUUCAAUGUUUUCAUUUUCCGGAAAAUACAAAUGAAUUCUCUCUUUUCUCUUUGUUUUCCUUUUUCUUUCACAAAUUCAAGAUCCAAACACAACCUUAAGAAUUAAAGAAACACUUUAAACACAUAAUCCAAGAACCACCCCAAUAUGUUCAAUAAUAAUUCAAAAAACUACCCCACCUUGUCCCCAAAUCAAGGACACUGUGUAUACAUGGGUCUCAAAUAAUGCAGCCUAGUUUUAGUUUUAGUUUCAGCCAAUACUUUUCGUAUGUUUAGUGAGAUAACCAUCUAACCAAUGCUCAUUCAAAGUUAAGUUAGUCUGUCCAACGAAAUUGGAGUCAAUAUUAUAAAAUGUUAUCCAUAGAAAAAUGGCAGCUGGAUGAUAACAUCCUCUUCGAACAGUACAAGCCAAUAAUACCCAAGGCCUGGAAUUGUCUCGAAAUGGACUGCAGAUUGAAACUCUGGUUUAUCUUUUUCUGUAAAAACCUCAUGCAUACAUCAAAUUAAACUUUGUUGCCAUCGAAUUAAUCGUGUCUUUAUACAUAAACAAAGAGAUUACGAAUCCUAGGGGUGAUUUGUUUGCUAAUGUAUUGGUCUUGGGAAGAGCUUAUCUUAUUUUAAUGAAUGUGAAUGAGACUCGGUUUGGAUAUAUAUGUUACGAAUCAUGAAAAAAAUAUCAUGAAAAUGAUCAUGAAAGAUUCUCCACCUUUGGAUUACGCCUAAAAUAAAACACCACACAUUAAUCAAGGGAUAAAAAAUCUUCAUGAUGCGUUUCAUGAUGUUUUUUUCAUGACUCUUAGUACGAGGAAAAGGAUAGAAAAGCAAACCACUUGAAAUGUACAAUUUAUGCAUUUGACACCUAUCACAGCCUGACACGUUGAAUCACCUUUGACUGAUAACAUUUUUUAUGUUAAGAUUUGUUACAGACUACGAUUUUUCAGUGGUUUUUUGGUGUCUCUGGACUUACGCUUUCUGUGGUGUUGGAUAUUUGGAAUUGUAGAAAAAGCUAAACAAGGGUGAAAUGGUGAGCAUUGCUGUAAUAUAUAUAUAUAUGAUGAUGAUGAUGAUUUGUCCUCCUGGUAUAUGUUUUCAAUAACAGUUUUGAUACAAACACAGAAUUAAACACAGAACGCAUAUUCACAAAUGAGAUUUUCAAAACUAUUAUGUACCUAGAAUUUGUACACCGAAAAUUAUCUUGAAAGCAAGCUGUAUUUAGAUUCAAACCAAUGUGGUCCAUUUGAUGUAGUUUUUAUGGAAUUUUUUUUUUUUUUAGAUACUUUUUCUGAUUUUAUAGAAUCUGUUGAUGGAAUUGACUUUUGAAAAUCUUGUCUAUUUAUUUACAUUUUGUGUUUGAUUUUGUGAUCGAUUUCUAUAAUUUAGGGCUUAAUUCUUUAAUGAGAAUUUGCUAGCACUUGUUUUUGAUGCUGGUAGUGUUGUUCUUGUUGGCUUCUACUAAAACGGGUCAAUGUUGUGUUUACACCCAGCAGAAGUAGUGGCUGUGAUUUUGCCACGUGGAAGCAUGCCAUGCCAACUUCUGAAACAGUUUGGAGAAUCAAUGAACCAGCAGAGAUUAGUCAUUGGGCUGAUUCAAAUUAAUUAGUCUUGAGCCCUGAAUUUUGUGUUGGAGAUGCUUCAAGUUGAUCCGACCAAGCCAAAAGCUAGGUAUAUAUUUUCGGUCUUGAAUAUGGAUAACAAUUGGAGUGAGUCAGGUGGAAAAAUCGAGGCAAAUAACCAGUGCAAAUUUUAUGUGAAUUGACAAAAAUGCCCUACAUAUUUGACUUAGAGAUCUCAAUUAAGGGAUAUACUCUUUUUUGUUAUUUCGUUAGAAUUUGGCCCGGGUUGUAGAGGAAUUAAGACCAUCUACUUUUUUUUUAUACACUAUUUA